RNAcentral lists this ribosomal RNA (432 nucleotides) under uncultured bacterium. RNAcentral describes it as "bacterial SSU rRNA". It matches the Rfam family "Bacterial small subunit ribosomal RNA", at positions 959 to 1392 of the family's 1533-position model. The record is from RNAcentral.
ACGCGAAGAACUUACCUGGCCUUGACAUCCAUGGAAUUUUGCAGAGAUGCAGAAGUGCCUCCGGGAACCAUGAGACAGGUGCUGCAUGGCUGUCGUCAGCUCGUGUCGUGAGAUGUUGGGUUAAGUCCCGCAACGAGCGCAACCCUUGUCCUUAGUUGCCAUCAUUCAGUUGGGAACUCUAAGGAGACCGCCGGUGACAAACCGGAGGAAGGUGGGGAUGACGUCAAGUCAUCAUGGCCUUUAUGGCCAGGGCUACACACGUGCUACAAUGGCAGGUACAGAGGGAAGCCAACGCGCGAGCGGGAGCCAAUCCCAGAAAGCCUGUCGUAGUCCGGAUCGGAGUCUGCAACUCGACUCUGUGAAGUUGGAAUCGCUAGUAAUCGCAGAUCAGCAUUGCUGCGGUGAAUACGUUCCCGGGUCUUGUACACACCG